RNAcentral lists this unclassified non-coding RNA (368 nucleotides) under soil metagenome. RNAcentral describes it as "partial contains 5.8S ribosomal RNA, internal transcribed spacer 2, and large subunit ribosomal RNA". The stretch from base 1 to 120 matches the Rfam family "5.8S ribosomal RNA", at positions 35 to 154 of the family's 154-position model. The record is from RNAcentral.
GAUGAAGAACGUAGCGAAAUGCGAUAAGUAAUGUGAAUUGCAGAAUUCAGUGAACCAUCGAAUCUUUGAACGCACAUUGUGCCCGGCAGUAAUCUGCCGGGCAUGCCUGUCCGAGCGUCAUUUCUGCCCUCGAGCGAGUCCAGCAUCUAGGUGCUGGGCCCGCCCGGCGUUGGGGCACUACGGGAAGCCCUGUGCUGUCCCCCGUAGGCCCCGAAAUGAAGUGGCGGUCCUGCCGCGGCGCCCCCUGCGUAGUAUAACAGCUCGCUUCGGGACCCGGUGGAGGCCUGCCGUCAAACCUUACUCUCUAAGUUUGACCUCGGAUCAGGUAGGGUUACCCGCUGAACUUAAGCAUAUCAAUAAGCGGAGGA